Molecule: long non-coding RNA, 347 nt
Organism: Spodoptera frugiperda (fall armyworm)
Lineage: Eukaryota; Metazoa; Arthropoda; Insecta; Lepidoptera; Noctuidae
Exons: 3
Source: RefSeq, a predicted model, not a curated record
UCCCACCCAAAACAUAAAUGUGAAAGGCUGCCAAGUUCGAUAAUAUUGGAAUGCUUCGCCUAUAAAAGAAGUGAGAUCUAAAUAAGUACCAAGUUCCAUACACAGACCUCAGUUAAAAAUGAUAUAACAAGUUGGCAAGUUUUCACACACUUUGUUAUAAACCUACUAAACGCAAUGAGUCAAGUAUAUAAUUUUCUAUUAAAACUUGCCAAGUUAUAUCAUUUUUAACUGAGUUAUAGGUGGGUCGAACUUGGCCCGAAAUGGUUCGUGUAAUAUAACCCACGGCCGGUGUGUCGGUUUUUUUUGCUCGAACUUGGCGGACACACUGCCGUGUGUCUAGAUACAAU